CCUACGGGGGGCAGCAGUCGAGAAUCAUUCACAAUGGGGGAAACUCUGAUGCUGCGACGCCGCGUGGGGGAAUGAAGGUCUUCGGAUUGUAAACCCCUGUCAUGUGGGAGCAAAUUAAAAAGAUAGUACCACAAGAGGAAGAGACGGCUAACUCUGUGCCAGCAGCCGCGGUAAUACAGAGGUCUCAAGCGUUGUUCGGAAUCACUCGGCGUAAAGCGUGCGUAGGCUGUUUCGUAAGUCGUGUGUGAAAGGCGCGGGCUCAACCCGCGGACGGCACAUGAUACUGCGAGACUAGAGUAAUGGAGGGGGAACCGGAAUUCUCGGUGUAGCAGUGAAAUGCGUAGAUAUCGAGAGGAACACUCGUGGCGAAGGCGGGUUCCUGGACAUUAACUGACGCUGAGGCACGAAGGCCAGGGGAGCGAAAGGGAUUAGAUACCCGGGUAGUC
Molecule: ribosomal RNA, 446 nt
Filed under: uncultured bacterium
Lineage: Bacteria
Description: partial 16S ribosomal RNA
Rfam family: Bacterial small subunit ribosomal RNA
Source: RNAcentral